RNAcentral lists this ribosomal RNA (378 nucleotides) under uncultured eukaryote. RNAcentral describes it as "partial 18S ribosomal RNA". It matches the Rfam family "Eukaryotic small subunit ribosomal RNA", at positions 592 to 976 of the family's 1831-position model. The record is from RNAcentral.
CAAUAGCGUAUAUUUAAGUUGUUGCAGUUAAAAAGCUCGUAGUUGGAUUUCGGGUGGGUACCGCCGGUCUCCCAUUGGGUAUGUACUGGCGUGGCCCGCCUUGCUGUCGGGGACGGUCUCCUGGGCUUAAUUGCUCGGGAAUCGGAGUCGACGAUGUUACUUUGAGUAAAUUAGAGUGUUCAAAGCAAGCCUACGCUCUGAAUACAUUAGCAUGGAAUAACACGAUAGGACUCUGGCUUAUCUUGUUGGUCUGUGAGACCAGAGUAAUGAUUAAGAGGGACAGUCGGGGACAUUCGUAUUUCAUUGUCAGAGGUGAAAUUCUUGGAUUUAUGAAAGACGAACUUCUGCGAAAGCAUUUGUCAAGGAUGUUUUCAUUAA